This 418-nucleotide long non-coding RNA is filed under the name Anser brachyrhynchus (Pink-footed goose). RNAcentral's name for it is "lncRNA (ENSABRG00000015848.1)". Lineage: Eukaryota; Metazoa; Chordata; Aves; Anseriformes; Anatidae. The record is from RNAcentral.
AUGAUUAAUACUGUAUUACUAUUUCACUCUCAGGUCAUUCAGCAGAACAGCCACCAUACCUCAGAAGUCACGGAAGUGAAAAAGCACUUACUGCACAAUGAAAAUAAGCACAGAGGCUCAGAGAAUAAUGUAUACUGCCACCUCCUUCUGGAAUACUAGAACUACAUGAAGCUGCAUCAUCUGCUGGGUUAGCCUGGAAUAAUAUGAUUUACAGGAUAUCUGCAGGAUAAUCUGUGAAGUUUGCAACAGAACAACUCGCUUCCCUAAGGGCCUGACCAAGCCUAGCCAGCCCUAUUCAAAAACCAGCCUCCAUUUUAUUCUGAAGUGAGAAAGUCUGAGGACUGCAAGUCCCUGAGCAUGUCUGGCAGGCAAAGCAUCAUCAUAGAGGAAGAAGAAUAAAAAAGGCCAGACUCCUCCA